GUGGCUGUAGCUCAGUUGGUAGAGCCCUGGAUUGUGAUUCCAGUUGUCGUGGGUUCGAGCCCCAUCAGUCACCCCA
Molecule: transfer RNA, 76 nt
Filed under: Methylovorus sp. MM2
Lineage: Bacteria; Pseudomonadati; Pseudomonadota; Betaproteobacteria; Nitrosomonadales; Methylophilaceae
Also listed under: 2 other names
Description: tRNA-His
Rfam family: tRNA
About the family: Transfer RNA (tRNA) molecules are approximately 80 nucleotides in length. Their secondary structure includes four short double-helical elements and three loops (D, anti-codon, and T loops).
Source: RNAcentral